GAAAUGUCGCUGCAGCUGCAAUCGUAAGUGAGCGGAGAUGACUGGUCGGAGUGUACUCUGCAUGUAUAUUUCAUAGAAAAUAAUGAAGCAGUAUAUACAGAUUUAACAUUCAUAUUCACUACAAUUUCUUAAUGACUGUAAGCGUUUUGUUGUCGGACAGGCAAAAUACAUAAAGGUGAUUACAUUGGAUUGCAUCUGAAAAUUGAACAAGUAUGUUGAAGGGAACCUUAGUGCUCGCUUUGGCAGUUCUUAAUUUGAUAUAUCAAGACACACAGGGCAAACUUUCUGGUUAUUUCAUCUAUGAUAAUAGACAGUGCAAGUGGAUGGAACUAACAAGGAACGGACCCGGACCCCGGUCAUUAGCAGUCAAUUGUCCAGCUUCUAAAGAUGGUAAAAUACCCGCAAUAGGUUGCCAAUACAGAGGUAAUCCGCACCCAUGCAAGGAAUACAAUAAAGACCCAGGGCAAUAUUACCAGUGCUUGGCAGACACACUAGGAAAAAUAGGCGACCUUUGCAAUAUCAACACCGUUAUCUGCAAGAGAAUGUGCAGUGAUAUUGAGUUUCAAUUGGAGAAGGACACUAAGAAAGAGGAUGGAAAUCAAAAAUUUGUCUUUGUACUUGUUGGUAUUGCUGCUGUCUCUUUCAUCUUUGUCCUUUUAUAUUUCCUUAAAUAAUUUUUACAAUGUAGUAAAUUUAAGAUCCUUACCUUUCGUGCUUUUAUGUUCAUCUCGUUUUAUUACAAAUAUUCCUACUGUGGGAACUCAUUCUCAAUGGAGCUGAAUGGAGCUGAACAUGAAAAUCAGUGAGCGUGUUAAAAUAUUUUGCUAGGUUGAGAAAUGGCAAAAUGUACAAUUUAGUAUUACAUUCCUGCAAAAUCCCAUGUUUAGAUUUCAUUUCAAUAAUUAUUCAAAGUAUCGUCCUUUAAAAUCAUUGCUUUUGUACUUUAUUCAAAUAAGCUAAUAUUAUAAAUACUACUUCACAGUGAACAAGACGUGAUCUGAAGCUCACUUAACGCAGUAAUAUAUUUAUAUUUAACGUUUCUCAUAACCUCAUCUUUUAGUAUUACAAAACAUUCUUUAUCUUUGCUCAAAGAAUACAUGUAGCAAAAAGCUUUGUUUUUUUCAAGUAAUAAAUCAAACAUCCUGAUUUCUGUGGAAAAGUUGAAAACAUGGACAACAUAUUCCAAGCAAGACAUAUUUUUGUAAAACU
Molecule: long non-coding RNA, 1209 nt
Organism: Mercenaria mercenaria
Lineage: Eukaryota; Metazoa; Mollusca; Bivalvia; Venerida; Veneridae
Exons: 2
Source: RefSeq, a predicted model, not a curated record